This 2215-nucleotide ribosomal RNA is filed under the name Salmonella enterica. RNAcentral's name for it is "partial 23S ribosomal RNA". It matches the Rfam family "Bacterial large subunit ribosomal RNA", at positions 604 to 2802 of the family's 2925-position model. The record is from RNAcentral. Lineage: Bacteria; Pseudomonadati; Pseudomonadota; Gammaproteobacteria; Enterobacterales; Enterobacteriaceae.
CCUUUUGUAUAAUGGGUCAGCGACUUAUAUUCUGUAGCAAGGUUAACCGAAUAGGGGAGCCGGAGGGAAACCGAGUCUUAAUUGGGCGUUAAGUUGCAGGGUAUAGACCCGAAACCCGGUGAUCUAGCCAUGGGCAGGUUGAAGGUUGGGUAACACUAACUGGAGGACCGAACCGACUAAUGUUGAAAAAUUAGCGGAUGACCUGUGGCUGGGGGUGAAAGGCCAAUCAAACCGGGAGAUAGCUGGUUCUCCCCGAAAGCUAUUUAGGUAGCGCCUCGUGAAUUCAUCUCCGGGGGUAGAGCACUGUUUCGGCUAGGGGGCCAUCCCGGCUUACCAACCCGAUGCAAACUGCGAAUACCGGAGAAUGUUAUCACGGGAGACACACGGCGGGUGCUAACGUCCGUCGUGAAGAGGGAAACAACCCAGACCGCCAGCUAAGGUCCCAAAGUCAUGGUUAAGUGGGAAACGAUGUGGGAAGGCCCAGACAGCCAGGAUGUUGGCUUAGAAGCAGCCAUCAUUUAAAGAAAGCGUAAUAGCUCACUGGUCGAGUCGGCCUGCGCGGAAGAUGUAACGGGGCUAAACCAUGCACCGAAGCUGCGGCAGCGACGCUGAUGCGUUGUUGGGUAGGGGAGCGUUCUGUAAGCCUGUGAAGGUGGCCUGUGAGGGUUGCUGGAGGUAUCAGAAGUGCGAAUGCUGACAUAAGUAACGAUAAAGCGGGUGAAAAGCCCGCUCGCCGGAAGACCAAGGGUUCCUGUCCAACGUUAAUCGGGGCAGGGUGAGUCGACCCCUAAGGCGAGGCCGAAAGGCGUAGUCGAUGGGAAACGGGUUAAUAUUCCCGUACUUGGUGUUACUGCGAAGGGGGGACGGAGAAGGCUAUGUUGGCCGGGCGACGGUUGUCCCGGUUUAAGCGUGUAGGUGUGUGUUCCAGGUAAAUCCGGUUCACUUUAACACUGAGGCGUGAUGACGAGGCACUACGGUGCUGAAGCAACAAAUGCCCUGCUUCCAGGAAAAGCCUCUAAGCAUCAGGUAACAUCAAAUCGUACCCCAAACCGACACAGGUGGUCAGGUAGAGAAUACCAAGGCGCUUGAGAGAACUCGGGUGAAGGAACUAGGCAAAAUGGUGCCGUAACUUCGGGAGAAGGCACGCUGACACGUAGGUGAAGUGAUUUACUCAUGGAGCUGAAGUCAGUCGAAGAUACCAGCUGGCUGCAACUGUUUAUUAAAAACACAGCACUGUGCAAACACGAAAGUGGACGUAUACGGUGUGACGCCUGCCCGGUGCCGGAAGGUUAAUUGAUGGGGUCAGCGCAAGCGAAGCUCCUGAUCGAAGCCCCGGUAAACGGCGGCCGUAACUAUAACGGUCCUAAGGUAGCGAAAUUCCUUGUCGGGUAAGUUCCGACCUGCACGAAUGGCGUAAUGAUGGCCAGGCUGUCUCCACCCGAGACUCAGUGAAAUUGAACUCGCUGUGAAGAUGCAGUGUACCCGCGGCAAGACGGAAAGACCCCGUGAACCUUUACUAUAGCUUGACACUGAACAUUGAGCCUUGAUGUGUAGGAUAGGUGGGAGGCUUUGAAGUGUGGACGCCAGUCUGCAUGGAGCCGGCCUUGAAAUACCACCCUUUAAUGUUUGAUGUUCUAACGUGGACCCGUGAUCCGGGUUGCGGACAGUGUCUGGUGGGUAGUUUGACUGGGGCGGUCUCCUCCUAAAGAGUAACGGAGGAGCACGAAGGUUGGCUAAUCCUGGUCGGACAUCAGGAGGUUAGUGCAAUGGCAUAAGCCAGCUUGACUGCGAGCGUGACGGCGCGAGCAGGUGCGAAAGCAGGUCAUAGUGAUCCGGUGGUUCUGAAUGGAAGGGCCAUCGCUCAACGGAUAAAAGGUACUCCGGGGAUAACAGGCUGAUACCGCCCAAGAGUUCAUAUCGACGGCGGUGUUUGGCACCUCGAUGUCGGCUCAUCACAUCCUGGGGCUGAAGUAGGUCCCAAGGGUAUGGCUGUUCGCCAUUUAAAGUGGUACGCGAGCUGGGUUUAGAACGUCGUGAGACAGUUCGGUCCCUAUCUGCCGUGGGCGCUGGAGAACUGAGGGGGGCUGCUCCUAGUACGAGAGGACCGGAGUGGACGCAUCACUGGUGUUCGGGUUGUCAUGCCAAUGGCACUGCCCGGUAGCUAAAUGCGGAAGAGAUAAGUGCUGAAAGCAUCUAAGCACGAAACUUGCCCCGA